Molecule: non-coding RNA, 74 nt
Organism: Podarcis lilfordi (Lilford's wall lizard)
Lineage: Eukaryota; Metazoa; Chordata; Lepidosauria; Squamata; Lacertidae
Source: the annotation of a GenBank genome assembly
GCCUGGAUAGCUCAGUUGGUUUGAGCAUGGUGCUGAUAACGCCAAGGUUGCUAGUUCGAUCCCUGUAUGGGACA